AACGAACGCUGGCGGCAGGCCUAACACAUGCAAGUCGAGCGCGCCCUUCGGGGUGAGCGGCGGACGGGUGAGUAACGCGUGGGAACGUGCCCUUUUUUCGGAAUAGCCUCGGGAAAAUGAGAGGAAUACCGGAUAAGCCCCUUGGGGGGAAGAUUUAUCGGAAAAGGAUCGGCCCGCGUUGGAUUAGGUAGUUGGUGGGGUAAUGGCCUACCAAGCCGACGAUCCAUAGCUGGUUUGAGAGGAUGAUCAGCCACACUGGGACUGAGACACGGCCCAGACUCCUACGGGAGGCAGCAGUGGGGAAUCUUAGACAAUGGGGGCAACCCUGAUCUAGCCAUGCCGCGUGAGUGAUGAAGGCCUUAGGGUUGUAAAGCUCUUUCAGCUGGGAAGAUAAUGACGGUACCAGCAGAAGAAGCCCCGGCUAACUCCGUG
RNAcentral lists this ribosomal RNA (432 nucleotides) under uncultured bacterium. RNAcentral's name for it is "partial 16S ribosomal RNA". It matches the Rfam family "Bacterial small subunit ribosomal RNA", at positions 29 to 507 of the family's 1533-position model. The record is from RNAcentral.